Molecule: long non-coding RNA, 340 nt
Filed under: Salmo salar (Atlantic salmon)
Lineage: Eukaryota; Metazoa; Chordata; Actinopteri; Salmoniformes; Salmonidae
Description: lncRNA (ENSSSAG00000099364.1)
Source: RNAcentral
UGUGAACCAUAGGGAAGACACGACAGAUGGAGGGAGCAGUGGAAGAUGAGGUGGACCCUCAGUCCUGCGAGUAACAAGUUGGGAAAUGUCAGCUCCCGUUCGGCUCAGAAGCUUGGGAAUUUGGAUUGUGCACAUAAACACCUGCUUAUAAGAGAUCUGUGUAAUAUCUACAUUACACUUAUGUUGUCAAAGACAUAUACACACACAGACAGAAACCAAGUUGGAAAAUGACGGCUCCAGUUAAGUUCAGAAUCCUCUUUGGAGAAAACUACUCGCAGCAAUUGACUCUUCCGUCUGGAAUACAUGUGUCUGUGAAUGAACUCUCAAAUAAGAUGAUGAG